GACGAACGCUGGCGGCGUGCUUAACACAUGCAAGUCGAACGGAAAGGCCCUGCUUUUGUGGGGUGCUCGAGUGGCGAACGGGUGAGUAACACGUGAGUAACCUGCCCUUGACUUUGGGAUAACUUCAGGAAACUGGGGCUAAUACCGGAUAGGAGCUCCUGCUGCAUGGUGGGGGUUGGAAAGUUUCGGCGGUUGGGGAUGGACUCGCGGCUUAUCAGCUUGUUGGUGGGGUAGUGGCUUACCAAGGCUUUGACGGGUAGCCGGCCUGAGAGGGUGACCGGCCACAUUGGGACUGAGAUACGGCCCAGACUCCUACGGGAGGCAGCAGUGGGGAAUAUGGCACAAUGGGCGGACGCCUGAUGCAGCAACGCCGCGUGCGGGAUGACGGCCUGCGGGUUGUAAACCGCUUUCGCCUGUGACGAAGCGUGAGUGACGGUAAUGGGUAAAGAAGCACCGGCUAACUACGUG
RNAcentral lists this ribosomal RNA (468 nucleotides) under uncultured bacterium. RNAcentral describes it as "partial 16S ribosomal RNA". It matches the Rfam family "Bacterial small subunit ribosomal RNA", at positions 28 to 507 of the family's 1533-position model. The record is from RNAcentral.